Molecule: non-coding RNA, 73 nt
Organism: Turnera subulata
Lineage: Eukaryota; Viridiplantae; Streptophyta; Magnoliopsida; Malpighiales; Passifloraceae
Source: the annotation of a GenBank genome assembly
GGGGGUGGUGGACAAGUGGUGAAGCCAUUAGCCUGCCAUCUCUAGGACUCGGGUUUGAGUCCCGACGCUUCCA